GCAAGUCGAACGAGAUCCUUCGGGGUCUAGUGGCGCACGGGUGCGUAACGCGUGGGAAUCUGCCUUUCGGUACGGAAUAACUCAGGGAAACUUGUGCUAAUACCGUAUGACGUCGCGAGACCAAAGAUUUAUCGCCGAAAGAUGAGCCCGCGUAGGAUUAGCUAGUUGGUGGGGUAAAGGCCUACCAAGGCGACGAUCCUUAGCUGGUCUGAGAGGAUGAUCAGCCACACUGGGACUGAGACACGGCCCAGACUCCUACGGGAGGCAGCAGUGGGGAAUAUUGGACAAUGGGCGAAAGCCUGAUCCAGCAAUGCCGCGUGAGUGAUGAAGGCCUUAGGGUUGUAAAGCUCUUUUACCCGGGAUGAUAAUGACAGUACCGGGAGAAUAAGCCCCGGCUAACUCCGUGCCAGCAGCCGCGGUAAUACGGAGGGGGCUAGCGUUGUUCGGAAUUACUGGGCGUAAAGCGUACGUAGGCGGUGACUCAAGUCAGAGGUGAAAGCCCGGGGCUCAACUCCGGAAUUGCCUUUGAAACUAGGUCGCUUGAACGUCGGAGAGGUGAGUGGAAUUCCGAGUGUAGAGGUGAAAUUCGUAGAUAUUCGGAAGAACACCAGUGGCGAAGGCGGCUCACUGGACGACUGUUGACGCUGAGGUACGAAAGCGUGGGGAGCAAACAGGAUUAAAUACCCUGGUAGUC
RNAcentral lists this ribosomal RNA (694 nucleotides) under uncultured soil bacterium. RNAcentral's name for it is "bacterial SSU rRNA". It matches the Rfam family "Bacterial small subunit ribosomal RNA", at positions 57 to 795 of the family's 1533-position model. The record is from RNAcentral.